GACGAACGCUGGCGGCGUGCUUAACACAUGCAAGUCGAACGAUGAAGAAGAGCUUGCUCUUCGGAUUAGUGGCGAACGGGUGAGUAACACGUGACUAACCUGCCCCUUUCUCUGGGAUAACGCUCCGAAAGGAGUGCUAAUACCGGAUACUCACAUCGAGGCACAUGCCUUGAUGUGGAAAGUUUUUCGGAAAGGGAUGGAGUCGCGGCCUAUCAGCUUGUUGGUGAGGUAACGGCUCACCAAGGCGACGACGGGUAGCCGGCGUGAGAGGGGGACCGGCCACACUGGGACUGAGACACGGGCCAGACGCCUACGGGAGGCAGCAGUGAGGAAUAUUGCACAGUGGGCGAAAGCCUGAUGCAGCGACGCCGCGUGAGGGAUGAAGGUCUUCGGAUUGUAAACCUCUUUCAGUAGGGACGAAGCGAAAGUGACGGUACCUAAAGAAGAAGCACCGGCUAACUACGUGCCAGCCGCCGCGGUAA
This 482-nucleotide ribosomal RNA is filed under the name uncultured bacterium. RNAcentral describes it as "partial 16S ribosomal RNA". It matches the Rfam family "Bacterial small subunit ribosomal RNA", at positions 28 to 523 of the family's 1533-position model. The record is from RNAcentral.